UGGGGAAUAUUGCACAAUGGGCGCAAGCCUGAUGCAGCCAUGCCGCGUGUGUGAAGAAGCCCUUCGGGUUGUAAAGCACUUUCAGCGGGGAGGAAGGCGGUGAGGUUAAUAACCUCACCGAUUGACGUUACCCGCAGAAGAAGCACCGGCUAACUCCGUGCCAGCAGCCGCGGUAAUACGGAGGGUGCAAGCGUUAAUCGGAAUUACUGGGCGUAAAGCGCACGCAGGCGGUCUGUCAAGUCGGAUGUGAAAUCCCCGGGCUCAACCUGGGAACUGCAUUCGAAACUGGCAGGCUAGAGUCUUGUAGAGGGGGGUAGAAUUCCAGGUGUAGCGGUGAAAUGCGUAGAGAUCUGGAGGAAUACCGGUGGCGAAGGCGUCCCCCUGGACAAAGACGGACGCUCAGGUGCGAAAGCGUGGGGAGCAAACAGG
RNAcentral lists this ribosomal RNA (429 nucleotides) under Chloroflexota bacterium. RNAcentral describes it as "Chloroflexi bacterium partial 16S ribosomal RNA". It matches the Rfam family "Bacterial small subunit ribosomal RNA", at positions 355 to 776 of the family's 1533-position model. Lineage: Bacteria; Bacillati; Chloroflexota. The record is from RNAcentral.